CCAAUAUGGUAAGACCAGGCGCCCCACCGCAACCCAAAGGUUGCGGGUUCAAAUGGGAGGCACCCAGGCUGCGUCGAGAUUUAGAAAAAAAAAGAAAAUCCUCCUCUCUCGUGCGACCUCUCCACGGUGGCGGCGCCCCACCCUGCUCCACCGGCGGACACGGCGCCUCCUCCAUCCCAUGGUGCCGGCUCCCCUCCCCUGCAACCACUCCAAGGACAUCCAGGAACAUGGUGGCAGUGUUGCUCGCUUGGAUCUUGGGCGCAGCAUCGUCCUGUGGUGGAUCCAGAAGAAGAGGCAGCGACGCCCUCCUCGGCCUCCCCUUCACCGGCGCCAAGGAGGCUCGUGGUGUGAGGCCCAUGGACCUCGUGCCCAGAUCUGGGAUGCCCCAGAGACAGCCUCCUCUCCACCCCGACCAGACCAGAGACGGCGUCCUCUCCCCGCCCCCCAUGGCUAGUGGCGGCAGCUUCCACAUCGCCGCUGCGGCGAGGUCGUCUCCCUUCCCUGACAUGAUGUGGUGAUGUAGCAGUGUGCAUGCAUUGGCAAGGCCCUGCUCGUGGAGCAGUGGCGCUCCCUCAUGGAGAAGACGCCGCACAUCUACUUCGCCUUCGAUGGCGCCGAGGCCUUCCCUAGGGAACAGAUUGGCAGAUUGGCGAGGUCGUCAAACAGCUGGCCAGGGAGGCCACGACGGUGGUGGAGCUUUUGCGAGCUGCAUUAAUUCAGUUUACUUAUUUAUUUAGUAACAUGCAUAAAAAUGGUUCCUGGUAUUUGUGCACUCUAAUUUAGGUAGCCAUAAUGUGGCAAGACAACUCAUUGCCUUCAUUGGAUGAACUAGUUGUCCUAUCCCAUGCUUUGGAUUUUGAUUUAUAUACUUGCAACACCUGAAUGGUCCGUGACUUUUUAAUUAAUGUAGCUGAUAUUAAUUUCACUAAUAGGUUUCUAUGCUUGACAAGUUAGAUUUAUAUGCUAUGUUGUUAUGAUUUUUGCAUUUAUGUAGAUGACAUUAGUUUCAUGAAUAGCUUUUAUGCAACUGCUAAAACAUGUGUAUAUGGCAUUCUUGCCGCUGUAAGGUUUGUGCACGUACUAAAACUUCUUUUAUAUGCCUUUCUUUGCCACUGUCAUUUUUGUGCACUGCUCAAAUAUGUUUCUAUGCCUUUGCUGUGAUGUAGGAUGGUUGGAAGGAUUCCUCUCUAUUUGUGAGAGGUCAACGGUGUUAUGGAUCUUCCUCCUCACUUUAGCAUGCUGACCUUUCUCCUCUCUACAACACGGCGAGCAGCAUACUCAUCCUCAUCUAACGGAGGAGUAGGGUGUGUUGUAGCAGCGAGAUCCAACACAAAUCGGAAGACAACCAGCCUACUGGAGAACAGGACUACUGCCAUGGUGUUGAUGAGCUUCUAGAUGAGGACACAUCCAGCACGGCGGCCAGAAGUGACACUAGUAUGUUUGGAAUCCUCGACUUUGCAAUUGAUUUUUAUUUCUAUGCUUAAAGUCAACCGUAUAAGCAAGCAGGAUUUGGUUUUUGCUUGAACGAGAAUGGUUUCUAUGCAUCCACUCGGCGAUUUAGGGGGAGCAUGCUAGGCCUGCUCGUGAGCUCCCUUUGAAGUGCGGAAUUGGAGAUGCUGCUAGCCUAUUGUUCGAUAGAUGCCUAGAAAUAUGGUUUUUAGUAUUUUCAUGUCAUAUUUUUAUGAUUUGUGAGAGUGGUAUCCAUGCUUAUAUGACAAAAGGUCUGCAUGAAAUGAAGAGCUACCAAAGUAGGCAAGCAAGAUUUCUACGUGGUUGAUUUUGAGUUUUUAUGCAUCUCCUUGAUAUAUGUCUUUCUUUUGCUGAUAUAAGGUUUAUGCGCCUACUAAAUCAUGUUUCUAUGUCUAUCUUGCUCAAGUUCAUAUGCCUUCUCCUGCUAAAACAUGUUCCUAUGCCUGUCUUGCUGUCUAAACGAAUUACCCGUUAUUUGUGAAACUGCAUGUAUGAGUGUGGUGCGAAUGGGUGGUGGUGGAUGGUGGUGUGGACAACAGCAAUGGCGUGACGCGGUCAAGGAUGUCUUCCACAGGAUGGUUAAAAUAGAUUCCUCUAUUUGGUGGGAGGUCAAUGGUGGCUUUGUUGUGAUGUAGCAUGGUUGGAAGGAUUUCUUUCCAUUUGGUGUGAGAGGUCAAUGGUGCCUCAGACAUAUGACAUGGCUUGUGAUGUCCACGACUCGUGGCGGUGGCGUCGUGUGAUCUUAAUAUAGUUGAUUGGUUAAUGUAAAAAGUUAGUUUUCCAUGAUGUAUUUAUAUGCUUGGAUGAGAUGAGCAAAACUUUGUUUCUAUGUAACCUCGGUUGGUUUUUAAUAUGUUGUUGACUCGGUUUCUA
Molecule: long non-coding RNA, 2343 nt
Organism: Sorghum bicolor (sorghum)
Lineage: Eukaryota; Viridiplantae; Streptophyta; Magnoliopsida; Poales; Poaceae
Exons: 4
Source: RefSeq, a predicted model, not a curated record